CAGCAGAUCCCCGGCAUUCACUAAGUUGAAAAAAGCCGUUUCAGCUGUUUGUGAGCAACCUGAAAUCAAUGAGUUCAAGGUGACAGACCUGCAGUCUUCCCUGCUAAAGUCCUUGAAAAUGACAAAGGAAAAGGACUGUAGCUUCUUGUCACUCAAAGCAUGAUCCAGAUCCCACAGCACGGACGUCACCUUUGAACUUGGUAGAAAUGCAGAAGCUCAGACUCCUGUCCAGACGUAUGACUCAGAACCUGCAUUUUUAACUAGAUCCCAGGCCCAGUGGAAGUACGAAGGGACACGAAGGGGCACAUUCUUCUCUCCCGCCCCCGCCAUUCCCCAGUCCUCAUUCCAGCCAGCAGGACACGUGACAAGGCUCUGUGCAGGCUUCUUGGCCAUGGUUUCUGUUUCUCUUUGUCACAGGGUCACAGAGGACCUCUAUGCCUGCCCUGGGGCCAGAUACUGUAGGAGUUGGGCAGAGUAUGCCGUAUUUCCCUAGGACAGCGGAACAGAAGGAAAGAAAGGAAGAUUUAUACUCUUUGGUCUCCUCCCUCCCUUCUUCUCCUCCCUCCCGGGAUAACAGGCAGCCCCAGCAUUUGACUGAGCUCCUUGUUUAAUGCUGCCACAUCUCUGCUAGUGACCGAAUGUUUCUCCCUCAAUAUUCCCUUUAUACAAGAUGAUGUGAUGUGUGUUUGUUGCUAAUAUUAGAUUUGCAACAGAUGCCCUCAUUGUUGGGGCCUGGGUACAUGUGGAGCAGAUUCCUAAAGCAAAGACAAAGCCCUCAAAUGCCCAGUGACUUUAAUAGCAGAACUUGCUGCCAUAGGCAGGGGGCUCCCACCAUGUUGGGCAAGGUGAAGGGGACAGGCCAAUAAGAGCCUCAGGAACUACGUCAUCAGUCUAGAAGCCACUGGAAAUACAGGCAGAGCUCUUGGGGGGAGCAGGCAGCAUAACGCAUGAAGAGGAGGCAUCUUCACGUGGAGACAAGCACCCAGAUGAGAAAAUUGAGGCAUAGAGACGUUCAACAAUCUUCCCAAGGUCACACAGUCCGUAAGAGGAGCCGGCAUUUGAACCCAGACAAUCGAAAUCCAGAGUUCAAGCUCAUAACCAUUACACUCUUCUUAUAAAUAUGGAAAGCCAAAAAAAAAGUUUCAGAAAAAUUAUGUUUUAAAUUUUUAUUUAUUAUUUUUUAUUGAGGCGUAUCAGAAAAAUUAUUUAAAACAUUUCUAUGCAUGAAGGUCUUCAAAGUUAUUCCCGCCUGAAGUAAUCCUUUAACAUCUGGACAAAUAUCCAAGAGACAGUUGAACAUCCCAGAGGUGCUCAGUAGUUCUUUGGGCCAGGCAAUUUUUUUAGUGCAGGCUCACAGGGAGAGAAGGCUUUUGCUGAAAGCUACGGACAGAUUAUGGAUUGGCCUGGGUGUGAGUGCAGAGGCGCAAGAGGACCUGGUCUGAAAACUCUUCUCCUGUGAGAAGAGAGUCAGUGGGAGAGAAAGCGGACCAGAGGCAAUCAACCAGAGAGAGAGCAGUGAACAACAAUGGGCCAUGUAUCACACAGAAAGAUGCUGCUAAAGACAGCCUUCCCCUGGAAUCAGCAUUCAGCAAAAACUUUAAUUAGCUCAAGGCACUCCCACCCGGUAGUAUGUUCCAGAAUCUUGGUGCGAGGACAUUUGUAAUUUGCAAAAGUAAGUUCAAUAUUACAAGAUAAUUUUAUUUUUGGAAGGCAAACAAACAAAAGGAACCUCUAUUGUUUUAUACCAUAAACUAAAGGAAAUAAAGUUAGAUAAAAUCUUC
RNAcentral lists this long non-coding RNA (1781 nucleotides) under Equus caballus (horse). RNAcentral describes it as "lncRNA (ENSECAG00000032668.2)". Lineage: Eukaryota; Metazoa; Chordata; Mammalia; Perissodactyla; Equidae. The record is from RNAcentral.